GAAGGACGUAGUAGCUUGCGAUAAGCUGCGGGGAGCUAGCAAACAAGCUUUGAUCCGCAGAUUUCCGAAUGGGGAAACCCGGCCUUUUAGGUCAUUGCAUACUGAAUACAUAGGUAUGCAAAGCGAACGCGGCGAACUGAAACAUCUAAGUAGCUGCAGGAAAAUAAAUCAACCGAGAUUCCCAAAGUAGUGGCGAGCGAAAUGGGAUGAGCCUG
This 215-nucleotide ribosomal RNA is filed under the name Massilia rubra. RNAcentral's name for it is "partial 23S ribosomal RNA". It matches the Rfam family "Bacterial large subunit ribosomal RNA", at positions 51 to 271 of the family's 2925-position model. The record is from RNAcentral. Lineage: Bacteria; Pseudomonadati; Pseudomonadota; Betaproteobacteria; Burkholderiales; Oxalobacteraceae.